RNAcentral lists this long non-coding RNA (299 nucleotides) under Laticauda laticaudata (blue-ringed sea krait). RNAcentral's name for it is "lncRNA (ENSLLTG00000000065.1)". Lineage: Eukaryota; Metazoa; Chordata; Lepidosauria; Squamata; Elapidae. The record is from RNAcentral.
GUCUUUGGAGAUGGAGGCUUAAGCAAACAAGACUUCAGAAAGUCACCCACGUCUCUGUCAACUAUCUGACUCAUAGGGUCAGAGAUAAAUUUGAGGCUUCUACAUUGGAGGCUCCAAUUUAUCAUGUGGCUGUACACUGUUCAAGAAUGAUUUGGAAGUGCUCUGGAUUGUGAACAAAGCAUGAUCCCUUUCAACACAAGAGCCCAUUUCAUUUCAGACUUCGAAUUGAGCACGAUUGGAGUCAUAACCAUUUAGAUUAUGGAACUUUUAAAAGUAGCUACCAUGAAGACAGGUAUUUU